RNAcentral lists this ribosomal RNA (443 nucleotides) under uncultured bacterium. Its description in RNAcentral is "partial 16S ribosomal RNA". It matches the Rfam family "Bacterial small subunit ribosomal RNA", at positions 338 to 795 of the family's 1533-position model. The record is from RNAcentral.
CCUACGGGAGGCAGCAGUGGGGAAUAUUGGGCAAUGGGCGCAAGCCUGACCCAGCAACGCCGCGUGAAGGAAGAAGGCUUUAGGGUUGUAAAAUUCUUUUUUCAGGGACGAAGCAAGUGAUGGUACCUGAUGAAUAAGCCUCGGCUAACUACGUGCCAGCAGCCGCGGUGAUACGUAGGUGGCGGGCGUUAUCCGGAUUUACUGGGUGUAAGGGGCGUGUAGGCGGGAGUGCAAGUCAGAUGUUAAAACUAUGGGCUCAACCCAUAGCUUGCAUUUGAUACUGUACUUCUUGAGUGCUGGAGAGGCAAGCGGAAUGCCGGGUGUAGCGGUGAAAUGCGUAGAUAUACGGCGGAACACCGGUGGCGAAGGCAGAUUACUGGACAGUAACUGACGCUGAGGCGCGAAAGCGUGGGGAGCAAACAGGAUUAGAUACCCCGGUAGUC